This 745-nucleotide ribosomal RNA is filed under the name uncultured bacterium. RNAcentral describes it as "bacterial SSU rRNA". It matches the Rfam family "Bacterial small subunit ribosomal RNA", at positions 60 to 803 of the family's 1533-position model. The record is from RNAcentral.
AGUCGAACGAAGCACUUUACCUGAUUUCCUUCGGGGAUGAUUGUUCUGUGACUGAGUGGCGGACGGGUGAGUAACGCGUGGAUAACCUGCCUCACACAGGGGGAUAACAGUUGGAAACGACUGCUAAUACCGCAUAAGCGCACAGCACCGCAUGGUGCAGUGUGAAAAACUCCGGUGGUGUGAGAUGGAUCCGCGUCUGAUUAGCUGGUUGGCGGGGUAACGGCCCACCAAGGCGACGAUCAGUAGCCGGCCUGAGAGGGCGACCGGCCACAUUGGGACUGAGACACGGCCCAGACUCCUACGGGAGGCAGCAGUGGGGAAUAUUGCACAAUGGGGGAAACCCUGAUGCAGCGACGCCGCGUGAGCGAUGAAGUAUUUCGGUAUGUAAAGCUCUAUCAGCAGGGAAGAUAAUGACGGUACCUGACUAAGAAGCUCCGGCUAAAUACGUGCCAGCAGCCGCGGUAAUACGUAUGGAGCAAGCGUUAUCCGGAUUUACUGGGUGUAAAGGGAGCGUAGGCGGUCCUGCAAGUCUGAUGUGAAAGGCCGGGGCUCAACCCCGGGACUGCAUUGGAAACUGUAGGACUAGAGUGUCGGAGGGGUAAGUGGAAUUCCUAGUGUAGCGGUGAAAUGCGUAGAUAUUAGGAGGAACACCAGUGGCGAAGGCGGCUUACUGGACGACUACUGACGCUGAGGCUCGAAAGCGUGNGGAGCAAACAGGAUNAGAUACCCUGGUAGUCCACGCCGU